Long non-coding RNA from Micropterus dolomieu (smallmouth bass), 711 nucleotides. RefSeq lists it as uncharacterized. NCBI's taxonomy places the organism in Eukaryota, Metazoa, Chordata, Actinopteri, Centrarchiformes, Centrarchidae. The record is from RefSeq and is a predicted model, not a curated record. The transcript is spliced from 2 exons.
GAGCAGGGACAAGGAGCGGGCUACCAAGGUCUGGUAAGCUCACUUCUUUCCAACUCGACACCCCCAGGUUUUUUACAACUUUAUUCACACACGCAGCAGUAAACAGAUUUCCCCUGCCCCUUUAAGAGUUCCCCUUUCAGGAACCAGAGCCUCUGGGUUUGUGUGUCUGCAGCGUGAUUUGAUUAUCAGGGCUAUUCCUGGACACAAGGAGCGAGACUCCUGCAAUAAGAUGUUCUGAAUAAAUGCUUCUUGACCCUGAACCCUGAAGUCGACAGCGUCCCUGCCCAGAAGAGAAGUCAGAUGUUAAACCAACAGCUGCUAACCUGAACUUCCUCCUGGUGUCCUCUCCAGGUCGUACGGGUUUCUGGUGAUGCCAUAGAGGUGGUUGUGGGACUCGCACCACAUACACAGCUCACUGGUGUUGGUGACGCCCAGCGGGAUGGCCCCUGCUCUUUUCAGCAGGGCCACCGACGGAGUGUCGACGGUGGCCGUGACUCCUCGCCUGGACAGCAAACCUGCAGUGUUCGGCAUGCCUGCAACACGGAAACACAUCAAAUACACUCAAAAUGCCAGGUUUCAAGAGACUGACGGGAUAUUAGGGUGGGGCCGGUAGACGGCGAUGGCUGACAGACAUCACAACGUUGAGCAGGCAUCUUGAUUGUAAACCCCCACCCCCCUUUGGCAAAAAAAAGAUCUAAAUGUUUCAAAUUA